Molecule: small nucleolar RNA, 80 nt
Filed under: Dasypus novemcinctus (nine-banded armadillo)
Lineage: Eukaryota; Metazoa; Chordata; Mammalia; Cingulata; Dasypodidae
Description: Small nucleolar RNA SNORD96 family (ENSDNOG00000035219.1)
Source: RNAcentral
GAUCCUGGUGAUGACAGAUGACAUUGUCAGCCAAUCCCGAUGGGGGACGUGAGGACAUGUCCUGCAAUUCUGAGGAGAUU